Anthonomus grandis grandis is the source of this 273-nucleotide long non-coding RNA. RefSeq lists it as uncharacterized. The transcript has 3 exons. NCBI's taxonomy places the organism in Eukaryota, Metazoa, Arthropoda, Insecta, Coleoptera, Curculionidae. The record is from RefSeq and is a predicted model, not a curated record.
CCAGGAUUUUAUUCCAGGCAUUUGUGUGCCUGAAAUAAUUUUUUUACCACUUAUAAGUCUCUCACAGGCGUUUGAGUUCCUUGAAAAACCUGGAAUAACGAUUUUAAAACUCUUUUGGUCAUUUUGAUGUAAUCUGAUAAGAGUUUUAGAAUUUUCUUUUAAUUCUAAAUAUUCUAAAGUAAGUCCAGGAUUUUAUUCCAGGCAUUUGUGUGUCUGGAAUAAUUCUUUUACUACUUAUAAGUCUCUCACAGGCGUUUGAGUUCCUUGAAAAAC